CCUACGGGAGGCAGCAGUGGGGAAUAUUGCACAAUGGGGGAAACCCUGAUGCAGCGACGCCGCGUGAGUGAAGAAGUAAUUCGUUAUGUAAAGCACUAUCAGCAGGGAAGAAAAUGACAGUACUUGAGUAAGAAGCCCCGGAUAACUACGUGCCAGCAGCCGCGGUAAUACGUAGGGGGCAAGCGUUAGCCGGAUUUACUGGGUGUAAAGGGAGCGUAGACGGCAGUGCAAGUCUGGAGUGAAAGGCGGGGGCUCAACCCCCGGACUGCUCUUGAAACUAGCGGGCUGGAGUGCCGGAGAGGUAGGCGGAAUUCCUAGUGUAGCGGUGAAAUGCGUAGAGAUGAGGAGGAACACCAGUGGCGAAGGCGGCCUACUGGACGGUGACUGACGCUGAGGUUCGAAAGCGUGGGGAGCAAACAGGAUUAGAUACCCCUGUAGUC
RNAcentral lists this ribosomal RNA (440 nucleotides) under uncultured bacterium. RNAcentral describes it as "partial 16S ribosomal RNA". It matches the Rfam family "Bacterial small subunit ribosomal RNA", at positions 338 to 795 of the family's 1533-position model. The record is from RNAcentral.